Non-coding RNA from Rattus norvegicus (Norway rat), 69 nucleotides. NCBI's taxonomy places the organism in Eukaryota, Metazoa, Chordata, Mammalia, Rodentia, Muridae. The record is from Rfam.
GGGGAUUUAGCUCAGUGGUAGAGCGCUUGCCUAGCAAGUGGAAGGCCCUGGGUUCGGUUCCCAGCUCCG